Molecule: ribosomal RNA, 484 nt
Filed under: uncultured Anaeroplasma sp.
Lineage: Bacteria; Bacillati; Mycoplasmatota; Mollicutes; Anaeroplasmatales; Anaeroplasmataceae
Description: partial 16S ribosomal RNA
Source: RNAcentral
CACGUAGUUAGCCGGAGCUUAUUCCUCAGGUACCGUCAAAUUCCUCUUUCUUCCCUGAUAAAAGAACUUUACAUUACGAAUAACUUCUUCGUUCACGCGGCGUUGCUCGGUCAGGGUUCCCCCCAUUGCCGAAAAUUACCCUACUGCUGCCUCCCGUAGGAGUAUGGACCGUUCUCAGUUCCAUUGUGGCCGUUCAACCUCUCAGUCCGGCUACGCAUCAUCGCCUUGGUAGGCCCUUACCCCACCAACUAGCUAAUGCGCCACAGGCCCCUCCUUAAGCAGAUCUCUCUUUUAAAUAUAAAAGAUUCUUCCUCUAUAUCCUAUCCAGUUUUAUCCAUCGUUUCCAAUGGCUAUCCUCGUCUUAAGGGUAGGUUACCUAUGUAUUACUCACCCGUUCGCCACUAAAGUACCCGAAGGUACUUCCGUUCGACUUGCAUGUAUUAGGCACGCCGCCAGCGUUAAUCCUGAGCCAGGAUCAAACUCU